UUCUCCAUUCCUUUCAGGGUGCAGAAACCAAAAGGAAUUAUCUGUUCUAUUAUAGUUACUACUUACAUCAAAUAUUCCAGAGCUUCAUUUGUCACAAAUUAUUUCACUGCAGGACUGUGUUCAUGCUGCCACUCAGUGGUAGCAAAGAGAUAGCUCAUCUCUGUCUAUCGAUUCCAUCUGCAUGCAACAGCUGCAGAUAAAGGACUAGACACUCUUUAACCAGGCAGCCAGCUGGACUAAAGCCCACAAAAAAACAACUACUCUAAACUUCUCAGUGAUAAGAGAAAAAAUAAGAAUCUGCUCCAGCAACAUUACUUUCCAGUUCUCCCUUCACAGCAACAGCCCAGAAAGCUAAUAUAACUGCAAUGAACGGCCCACAUCCAUGAAGAACCUAUCUAUAGAAUCUCCAUGAAAUGUAUUGUUAUAUACGAUGGCAAUGGCUAAGUUUUCCAAUAAACGUGUGACUCAAGUUGAUACACUUUUAUUGCUAUUUGCCACGUGUUCCUUUGACUUAGUCCAUGAGUUUAUGAAGUGAUCGAAAGCCAUGAAUAUGUUCUAAAUUAAAGGAGGAGAUUUUCAUGGUUACUUCACCACUGAUAUGGGAGUCCAUGGAUAUAUGUUAACUUAAAACUAGGUCAAGUAGAUAGUUAA
Long non-coding RNA from Trachemys scripta elegans, 651 nucleotides. RefSeq lists it as uncharacterized. The record is from RefSeq and is a predicted model, not a curated record. NCBI's taxonomy places the organism in Eukaryota, Metazoa, Chordata, Testudines, Emydidae. The transcript has 3 exons.